This 563-nucleotide ribosomal RNA is filed under the name Fusarium sp. PG14. RNAcentral's name for it is "eukaryotic LSU rRNA". It matches the Rfam family "Eukaryotic large subunit ribosomal RNA", at positions 62 to 648 of the family's 3401-position model. Lineage: Eukaryota; Fungi; Ascomycota; Sordariomycetes; Hypocreales; Nectriaceae. RNAcentral also lists the same sequence under 6 other names. The record is from RNAcentral.
AAACCAACAGGGAUUGCCCCAGUAACGGCGAGUGAAGCGGCAACAGCUCAAAUUUGAAAUCUGGCUCUCGGGCCCGAGUUGUAAUUUGUAGAGGAUGCUUUUGGUGAGGUGCCUUCCGAGUUCCCUGGAACGGGACGCCAUAGAGGGUGAGAGCCCCGUCUGGUUGGACACCGAUCCUCUGUAAAGCUCCUUCGACGAGUCGAGUAGUUUGGGAAUGCUGCUCUAAAUGGGAGGUAUAUGUCUUCUAAAGCUAAAUACCGGCCAGAGACCGAUAGCGCACAAGUAGAGUGAUCGAAAGAUGAAAAGAACUUUGAAAAGAGAGUUAAACAGUACGUGAAAUUGUUGAAAGGGAAGCGCUUGUGACCAGACUUGGGCUUGGUUGAUCAUCCGGGGUUCUCCCCGGUGCACUCUUCCGGCUCAGGCCAGCAUCAGUUCGCCCUGGGGGAUAAAGGCUUCGGGAAUGUGGCUCUCUCCGGGGAGUGUUAUAGCCCGCUGCGUAAUACCCUGUGGCGGACUGAGGUUCGCGCAUUCGCAAGGAUGCUGGCGUAAUGGUCAUCAGUGAC